UACGGGGGGAGCAAGCGUUGCUCGGAUUUACUGGGCGUAAAGGGCGCGUAGGCUGUCGUGACAAGUCACUUGUGAAAUCUCCGGGCUUAACUCGGAACGGUCAAGUGAUACUGUCGGACUAGAGUACGGAAGGGGCAACUGGAAUUCUUGGUGUAGCGGUGAAAUGCGUAGAUAUCAAGAGGAACACCUGCGGCGAAGGCGGGUUGCUGGGCCGACACUGACGCUGAGGCGCGAAAGCUAGGGGAGCGAACGGG
Molecule: ribosomal RNA, 254 nt
Filed under: uncultured bacterium
Lineage: Bacteria
Description: partial 16S ribosomal RNA
Rfam family: Bacterial small subunit ribosomal RNA
Source: RNAcentral